Molecule: unclassified non-coding RNA, 221 nt
Filed under: Hevea brasiliensis (rubber tree)
Lineage: Eukaryota; Viridiplantae; Streptophyta; Magnoliopsida; Malpighiales; Euphorbiaceae
Source: RNAcentral
UAAAACCUAUCACAUGAUUGAUGAUGAUGAUGAUCCCAUAUUGGAGAAGGCCAUAGGGACCAACAUUGAAUGGUAUCCCGGUAAAUGCUUGACACAGAAGAUCCUAAAAAGGAAGCCAAAGAAAGGGUCAAAGAAUGCUAAACCCGUAAUUAAGACUGAGAGCUGUGAGAGCUUUUUCAAUUUCUUUAAUCCACCACAAGUACCUGAAGAUGAUGAUGAUA